UGGGGAAUUUUGGACAAUGGGGGAAACCCUGAUCCAGCCAUCUCGCGUGUGCGAUGAAGGCCUUCGGGUUGUAAUGCACCUUUGGCAGGAAAGAAACGUCAUGGGUUAAUACCCCGUGAAACUGACGGUACCUGCAGAAUAAGCACCGGCUAACUACGUUCCAGCAGCCGCGGUAAUACGUAGGGUGCAAGCGUUAAUCGGAAUUACUGGGCGUAAAGCGUGCGCAGGCGGUUCGGAAAGAAAGAUGUGAAAUCCCAGAGCUCAACUUUGGAACUGCAUUUUUAACUACCGGGCUAGAGUGUGUCAGAGGGAGGUGGAAUUCCGCGUGUAGCAGUGAAAUGCGUAGAUAUGCGGAGGAACACCGAUGGCGAAGGCAGCCUCCUGGGAUAACACUGACGCUCAUGCACGAAAGCGUGGGGAGCAAACAGG
RNAcentral lists this ribosomal RNA (429 nucleotides) under Acidobacteriota bacterium. RNAcentral's name for it is "Acidobacteria bacterium partial 16S ribosomal RNA". It matches the Rfam family "Bacterial small subunit ribosomal RNA", at positions 355 to 776 of the family's 1533-position model. The record is from RNAcentral. Lineage: Bacteria; Pseudomonadati; Acidobacteriota.